UUAUCCUACGGGGGGCAGCAGUGGGGAAUAUUGCACAAUGGGGGGAACCCUGAUGCAGCGACGCCGCGUGGGCGAUGGAGUAUUUCGGUAUGUAAAGCCCUCUCGGCAGGGAAGAAACUGACAGUACCUGACUAAGAAGCCCCGGCUAACUACGUGCCAGCAGCCGCGGUAAUACGUAGGGGGCAAGCGUUAUCCGGAUUUACUGGGUGUAAAGGGGGCGCAGACGGCAAUGCAAGCCAGGAGUGAAAGCCCGGGGCCCAACCCCGGGACUGCUCUUGGAACUGC
RNAcentral lists this ribosomal RNA (285 nucleotides) under uncultured bacterium. RNAcentral describes it as "partial 16S ribosomal RNA". It matches the Rfam family "Bacterial small subunit ribosomal RNA", at positions 334 to 636 of the family's 1533-position model. The record is from RNAcentral.